AUGAUACAAGUGAUGACCGCAUAGUUCAGCAGAAUCACCAUGUAGAACUAAGAGCAUGUCUUUCGCUCCUAGCUGAUGUAUCAC
This is a small nucleolar RNA of Astyanax mexicanus (Mexican tetra), 84 nucleotides long. The record is from Ensembl. Lineage: Eukaryota; Metazoa; Chordata; Actinopteri; Characiformes; Acestrorhamphidae.